UGGUGGAUUAGUGGCGACGGGUGAGUAACACGUGAGUAACCUGCCCUUAACUCUGGGAUAAGCCUGGGAAACUGGGUCUAAUACCGGAUAUGACUCCUCAUCGCAUGGUGGGGGGUGGAAAGCUUUUUGUGGUUUUGGAUGGACUCGCGGCCUAUCAGCUUGUUGGUGAGGUAAUGGCUCACCAAGGCGACGACGGGUAGCCGGCCUGAGAGGGUGACCGGCCACACUGGGACUGAGACACGGCCCAGACUCCUACGGGAGGCAGCAGUGGGGAAUAUUGCACAAUGGGCGCAAGCCUGAUGCAGCGACGCCGCGUGAGGGAUGACGGCCUUCGGGUUGUAAACCUCUUUCAGUAGGGAAGAAGCGAAAGUGACGGUACCUGCAGAAGAAGCGCCGGCUAACUACGUGCCAGCAGCCGCGGUAAUACGUAGGGCGCAAGCGUUAUCCGGAAUUAUUGGGCGUAAAGAGCUCGUAGGCGGUUUGUCGCGUCUGCCGUGAAAGUCCGGGGCUCAACUCCGGAUCUGCGGUGGGUACGGGCAGACUAGAGUGAUGUAGGGGAGACUGGAAUUCCUGGUGUAGCGGUGAAAUGCGCAGAUAUCAGGAGGAACACCGAUGGCGAAGGCAGGUCUCUGGGCAUUAACUGACGCUGAGGAGCGAAAGCAUGGGGAGCGAACAGGAUUAGAUACCCUGGUAGUCCAUGCCGUAAACGUUGGGCACUAGGUGUGGGGGACAUUCCACGUUUUCCGCGCCGUAGCUAACGCAUUAAGUGCCCCGCCUGGGGAGUACGGCCGCAAGGCUAAAACUCAAAGGAAUUGACGGGGCCCGCACAGCGCGAGCAUGCGAUUAAUCG
This 850-nucleotide ribosomal RNA is filed under the name Arthrobacter sp. Its description in RNAcentral is "bacterial SSU rRNA". It matches the Rfam family "Bacterial small subunit ribosomal RNA", at positions 85 to 951 of the family's 1533-position model. The record is from RNAcentral. Lineage: Bacteria; Bacillati; Actinomycetota; Actinomycetes; Micrococcales; Micrococcaceae.